UACAGAGGUCUCAAGCGUUGUUCGGAUUCAUUGGGCGUAAAGGGUGCGUAGGCGGCGCGGUAAGUCGGGCGUGAAAUCUCGGAGCUUAACUCCGAAACUGCAUUCGAUACUGCCGUGCUUGAGGACUGGAGAGGAGACUGGAAUUUACGGUGUAGCGGUGAAAUGCGUAGAUAUCGUAAGGAAGACCAGUGGCGAAGGCGGGUCUCUGGACAGUUCCUGACGCUGAGGCACGAGGGCCAGGGGAGCAAACGGG
This 253-nucleotide ribosomal RNA is filed under the name uncultured bacterium. RNAcentral describes it as "partial 16S ribosomal RNA". It matches the Rfam family "Bacterial small subunit ribosomal RNA", at positions 524 to 776 of the family's 1533-position model. The record is from RNAcentral.